Molecule: ribosomal RNA, 545 nt
Filed under: uncultured bacterium
Lineage: Bacteria
Description: bacterial SSU rRNA
Rfam family: Bacterial small subunit ribosomal RNA
Source: RNAcentral
GAGUUUGAUCAUGGCUCAGGAUGAACGCUAGCGGCAGGCUUAGCACAGUGCAAGUCGAGGGGUAGAAGUCUUCGGACUUUGAGACCGGCGCACGGGUGCGUAACGCGUAUGCAAUCUACCUUUUACAAAGGGAUAGCCCAGAGAAAUUUGGAUUAAUACCUUAUAGUAUUAAGUUUUGGCAUCAAGAUUUAAUUAAAGAUUUAUCGGUAAAAGAUGAGCAUGCGUCCCAUUAGUUAGUUGGUAAGGUAACGGCUUACCAAGACUUCGAUGGGUAGGGGUCCUGAGAGGGAGAUCCCCCACACUGGUACUGAGACACGGACCAGACUCCUACGGGAGGCAGCAGUGAGGAAUCAUUGGUCCAAUGGACGCAAGUCUGAACCAGCCAUGCCGCGUGCAGGAUGACGGUCCUAUGGAUUGUAAACUGCUUUGAUACGGGAAGAAACCCUGGCUCGUGAGCCAGACUGACGGUACCGUAAGAAUCACGGAUCGGCUACCUCCGGUGCCAGCAAGCACCGCGGCUACUCACGGAGGAUCCACGCGUUCAU